ACUCAAAGGAAUUGACGGGGGCCCGCACAAGCGGCGGAGCGUGCGGUUUAAUUCGACGCAACGCGCAGAACCUUACCAGGGCUUGACAUGCCCCUGCAGAGCCGGGAAACCGGUUGGCCUUCGAGGGUGGGGCACAGGUGCUGCAUGGCUGUCGUCAGCUCGUGUCGUGAGAUGUUGGGUUAAGUCCCGCAACGAGCGCAACCCCCGGGGGUAGUUGUCGAUGUUUCUACCCCGACUGCCGCGAGCAACGCGGAGGAAGGUGGGGAUGAUGUCAAGUCAGCAUGGCCCUUACGUCCUGGGCAACACGCACGCUACAAUGGGGGGGACAAUGGGUAGCCAAGCGGCAACGCGGAGCGAAUCCCCGCAAAACCCCUUCUCAGUUGGAAUUGUGGGCUGCAACUCGCCCGCAUGAACGUGGAGUCGCUAGUAACCGCCGGUCAGCACUACGGCGGUGAAUACGUUCCCGGGCCUUGCACACACCGCCCGU
This 487-nucleotide ribosomal RNA is filed under the name uncultured bacterium. RNAcentral describes it as "partial 16S ribosomal RNA". It matches the Rfam family "Bacterial small subunit ribosomal RNA", at positions 899 to 1397 of the family's 1533-position model. The record is from RNAcentral.